UUUCAACAUUCAGGUUUAAGAUUUUCAGUUUUUUGAAGCUUGAGUCUACAAAAUGAUGCUCCUAAGCAAAACUUUUGGUCCUAAAAUUAGCUGUUCUGAUUGUGCAUUAUAAAGAUAUUAAUAGAAAGAUCUUCAUAUGUAACAUAAAUGUAUAUAGUAGAGUGACCUAUUCGGUGAGAUAAGACAUGUUCCCGACCCAGCCCUGUCACUUCAAGUCAAUUAAAUUGAACAAUUUGACGAUAUUGCGUUCCGCUCUCUGCCGAUACGUUCGUGGGCCAACAAACUCAUGUAGCAGGCCAAAAUAAAUGCCAGCUCUUCCCCGGUUACGGCCGAUAAGUAGCGUCGCAUCAUAAACAACAUAAACAGCACCUGACAAUUUGACAGACACUGAGCGUUUCGCAGAACCCUAUCGAGGACUUCCCUGGAAUUAAAAAUCAUCAAGUGGACAAUCAUCGUCUGUCACAAAUUAGCAAACAAGAUUAGGCAACGGCCAGAGAUAACGCUUUUUUUUAUUCAUCAAUCCGUCAAUUUGUCAAAUCCUGACUCAUACACUCUUCAGAUAAUUAAGAAUUGGGUAAACAGAUUUCUAUGGCGUUUAGAUUACGCUCCAAUACCCUACUUCUAGUACUUGAGAAGACAUUACUUGCCUUAAGAGUUAUUCUUCCUUUAAGGAGGAGAGAGGAGAGAAGAGAGACGAGAGGGGAGAGAGGAGAAAAAUGAGAAAAAGGCGAGA
Molecule: long non-coding RNA, 733 nt
Organism: Drosophila hydei
Lineage: Eukaryota; Metazoa; Arthropoda; Insecta; Diptera; Drosophilidae
Exons: 3
Source: RefSeq, a predicted model, not a curated record